GAUGAACGCUCGCUACAGGCUUAACACAUGCAAGUCGAGGGGAAACGCCAUCGAAAGCUUGCUUUUGAUGGGCGUCGACCGGCGCACGGGUGAGUAACGCGUAUCCAACCUGCCCAUCACUUGGGAAUAACCUUGCGAAAGUAAGACUAAUACCCAAUGACAUCCCACGAAGACAUCUGAAUGGGAUUAAAGAUUUAUCGGUGAUGGAUGGGGAUGCGUCUGAUUAGCUUGUUGGCGGGGUAACGGCCCACCAAGGCAACGAUCAGUAGGGGUUCUGAGAGGAAGGUCCCCCACAUUGGAACUGAGACACGGGCCAAACUCCUACGGGAGGCAGCAGUGAGGAAUAGUGGUCAAUGGGCGAGAGCCUGAACCAGCCAAGUAGCGUGCAGGAUGACGGCCCUAUGGGUUGUAAACUGCUUUUAUAAGGGAAUAAAGUGGGUCUCGUGAGACUUUUUGCAUGUACCUUAUGAAUAAGGACCGGCUAAUUCCGUG
This 492-nucleotide ribosomal RNA is filed under the name uncultured bacterium. Its description in RNAcentral is "partial 16S ribosomal RNA". It matches the Rfam family "Bacterial small subunit ribosomal RNA", at positions 28 to 507 of the family's 1533-position model. The record is from RNAcentral.